RNAcentral lists this long non-coding RNA (379 nucleotides) under Dermacentor andersoni. RNAcentral describes it as "uncharacterized LOC126537184". The record is from RNAcentral. Lineage: Eukaryota; Metazoa; Arthropoda; Arachnida; Ixodida; Ixodidae.
UGCUAGUACACAGAAUAUGUUUUGCAAAUUGUUUUACAAUCACUGCAUUCUUUGCAUUUCAGUACGAAGAAUUUCUUAGUGAGCUUAAGGAAGAAGACCAAGAGCGAACCAACACAGCCGUGAAAAAUUGCCUCUCCGGCGUCAACAAAGAAUUCGGCUUCGCGUAGAACUAAGCCCGAAAGUUAAAAUAGUUCUGGCUCAUCUUUGCUUUGCUUUGCUUUCAUUUGAGUGGUAAGAGCUUUCCGGAAAACAACAAAAGUUAGACACACGGUUGGUGCGUUGUUUCCCAGCUCUAUUCUGAAUUUAUUCGUUGCGAUUUCUCAAAUUCGCGAACAGUAAUGGUUGCCUUCACGCACAAUAAACAUGUUUCUAAAACCUA